Molecule: transfer RNA, 73 nt
Filed under: Caudoviricetes sp.
Lineage: Duplodnaviria; Heunggongvirae; Uroviricota; Caudoviricetes
Description: tRNA-Gln
Rfam family: tRNA
About the family: Transfer RNA (tRNA) molecules are approximately 80 nucleotides in length.
Source: RNAcentral
UGAGGAAUGGCGAAGUGGUCAACGCAGAGGGCUUUGACCCCUCCAUUCGUCCGUUCGAGCCGGACUUCCUCAA